AAAAGUAUAUAUAUUAUUGAUCAGCAUCACUUAACGAGUCUAUAUAUGCAUGUCAGUCUGUCCGUCUGUCUGUUUUUACGCCAACUAGUCUUUACGUUUUUUUAUAUAUAAGGACGAACCCUUCGCUUUUUAUUGCAGGUAUUAAAUCCCAUACAAAAUAAAAAUAAAAAUUUGUUACAACAAUGAAGGAGGCUUGCUUAAGUUUCUAUAUAUUCGCAAGUCGUUCGGGCGGGCUGAAUUGGGUACAUCGUAUAGUCGCCCUAUAAUCUUAAAAGGAUUCUAGGAACGUGAACCGUAAAAUAAAUGUUGCUUAGAAUUUAUACGUUUUGAUUUACUAACGUCUAUCUUUACCGAAAAAUAAUAUAACAAUGAAAAACGAUUUCUUCUGCCUUCCUGUCCCCAAUGUUUCCCGAUCGUACUAGUCGUCUGGCAGCCGCGGCUUCGUGGGUUAGUAACGAAGGCGACUAACCAGUUAAGUUGACUGCCAAGCUAAUCUCUUGCCGGCCUUUGGUUCCUACGGCACUUGGGUUAGCCUUUUACCAGCCGCUUGCAUUUGCUUUGGUUUAAAUUUCUUGAAAGUGUGGCAUUUUCUCAUAAGGGCUCGAGCCCCUUUGCACAUGCUUGACCAGUAGUAUGGGCUCCAUACCGUGUAAGUGCACGUGUACCAGUAAUGUAUCUGGGUUUCGGAUAGCCUGGACCAGCACCUAUGGUUGCUUAGCAACAAUGUUUUUGCGGAUGCUUAGCAACAUGUCUCUUAAGAACAUCUGGGAGAAACAAGGCAACAUGCCGCGCUCCUAGUAGGUCCGGAAAAACUGUGGCUGUGUGGGUUGCUAGGAGAGACUGAUCGAGAAUAAGGAGAAAAAGAUUUUCGCGCCUCUCUGUGGGCAAACGGCGGAGUGGUGGAAUCGCGGUUUGGUGGCGUCUUGCAGGGGGUAUAAAAGGCGGUCCGCUGGCGUCAGCCGCUCAUAGCAAGUGAGACUCUAAGUGCAAUUUCAAGUGGGUGAAAGUGAAAAGGUUGUGGUUUUUCAAAUGCUAAUUUGCACCUUUUGCAGCUUAGACAUUUCGAACUUAAUCCCGUGAGGAGUGAUUCAACCCCUUGCAACAGCAGUGGCUCAAAGGGUGAGUUAGGCAUUUCCUCCCAGUUUGGGUUUAACUUUGACUUUGUGGCGCAGCGGCAAGCGACAGCGACGCGGAAGAGCGAUCUCGGAGCACCACGACGAGUAUUGCCAAAGAGGGUAGCUCUACUACGGCGGCGAGCCUGGAUUGUGGCAACCACACCCAAGAGUUGGCGCAAGCAAACCACGGCGCUUCUAAGCGCCAAUCAACAAAGAGAAUUGCACAGGCGCAUUUGUUUGUUUAGCGCAAGCGUUUUUUUUGGAUCAGCUGCCAGCGGCAAGGCCGUAUCGAGGUUUUCCCUCAAACGCGGCGUUCCACAUGGCAGCACUGUGCUUUUCCUUAAUGUGAUGAAAACGCUGAAAUCCACCAAUUAAUAUUCCUGACCACCUGAAGAAGGUCAACAUGAUUAGUUAAAUGCACUUUAUUUUUAUUGUCAUUAUUUUUAUUUAAACCUAAGUCCAAUAACUCCAAGAAACACAUAAGAACAGUCGGUCAUAUAGACGAACAAAACGAACAUAAAGAUUAGGUAACAACAAAGAUUAUGCGCGAGGUUUGUUAGAAGGGCGAUAUUUUCCAAUAUAUUUACAGGUGCGGCAACCUCUUUGGAAGCGCUUUCAUCGGAGGAUGCGGCACAACUUCACGUGAGUUAAACUUUCAUUUAAUUUAAACCUAAACGCAAACGGCGAAAUAUUCGAAAAAAAAACACCGCAGGGCAAACUAGAGCGCACCGUCGCAAAGAAACGCGAGAAGUAAAUGAAAAGAAGAUAAGAACGUAGUCACCCGCUAGCAUCCCUCCCUUUCCCCCUUACCGCCACUUGGGCGCACAAGCAGCGGCGUCAGAGCAUGCGCGCCUGGUAUCGCAUCCCGGCCAUUGCCGAGGGAUUUUUAUGUUUGUAGUUUUGGUUCUAUCAGACCCACAAAUGCUUUUGUUGUAUUAAUUUAAUUUGCUUUGAUAUAUUCUGCGUGUAGUUUCUUUUGGCAGCGCUGACUGCAGUUGCUGCGUGACAAAUUUUCGAGAUUACGAUUUGCGAAUGCAAUCUAGGGCUCAAUUAAAGUUUUAAGAUAUUGUUUAAUUAAAUGUUAUUUUUUUGUAUUUUUUUUAUUUAACGUCCCUUUUAUGUUUUAAGAUUUAUUUGUUCAUCUAUGCUAAUGUUUAUUUGUUUAAUGUUUCACUUUACAGUUAGGCAAUAAAUUAUAAUGAUUUUCUAAGAGAUUUUGUAGUUGAACUCGGGCUGGGGCAGCACCGGUAGGAAUGUGGAAGGGGCCGUGGGAAGAGGUCUCCCCAGGAUGUAACGGCCAUAGGUAGGGUGGGCAUUGACCACAACAACAUCAGUGUCAUGUUUGAAUGUGCGUGUGCAUAUGAGGUGUCAGUUCGUAGUUUCGUUAUCUCCGGUUGUAGUUGUGCCUUACAGUGCAUGUUUAUGUGUAUCUGUGGGGCAUAUUUUGUCGCAGCACGCUAAUUUUAAGAUAAGUUGACAACAUUAAGGCAUUUUUCGGUGCAACACUAUACCAUCCCCUCAAGCCGACGAGCGCAGCCGAAACAUAAGAGCGUACGUUGCAUCGAAAGUUUUUCCAGCUGCCAUUGUAAACGUUGUUCAUUACAGAUGUAUAGUUGUUAGCUUAUUUUUGGCGCCCAACGUUAAGGCCUUAUUUUUUAAUUAACUUAAUAGACGAGACUCACUAACAAAAUUGCGAACUGUUCUUUCUUCAACCAUUUCUUUUUCAAGAGUGAUUAAAGACCUAUUGGAAUUCAGUACAUGAAAUUCUCGAGAUUUGUACUUGACCAUAAGCAUCUUUAGGUCCAAUAUUUAAAUUGCCUGGAAUUUCUGUCGAAAUCUCCCGAGCUUUUCACAGUACCUAGCAAAUUCAACUGCAAGAUAUGAUUCGUGGAAUUUGAUCCUAUGUUCCAGAACUGGGAUUAACCACUAAAAUCGGAUAUAGUGCAAUGUUUGACGGAAACAGUAUCUGUGAUAGAUGACUGGCCUCAAGCACACAGCUUUACUUGACUACAUUUCCCUUCGUAAAUUUGUUACACACAUUCAAGACACACAUUUUUCCGGUAGCUAAGCUAGGCUACGAGUUCAACUUUAUGUUUUUGAUUGUCGAUUUUAAAAGUUUUUGUGAGAUUUCUUAUGUUUUAUGUUUAUUUAUCAAAUUUAAAUCUAUUUACCCAUUAAUUACAAUACUAUUUGCCAAUUUAUACUUUUUAUAUUAUUAUCUUUUAAAAACACAUAUAUUUAGAAAUUGUCUUCAUUAAUUUUUUUAACCCUUAUAUAUCCAUCAUAUUAUAAUUAUUUAGUAUCAUUAUAUUUCCAAAAUGGGAUUAGAACGGGAUGAUAACCCGCCUCCAGGGCCAGGAAAAGGCAACUGCCCCUUGUGUAAUAGUUCUAUAAAAUCAGAAGAGGAAUCCUAUAAAACCCCAUGCAAACACACUUUUCACAAAAAUUGCAUUAGAACUCAUUUUGCGGCCAAUCCCAGAUGCCCCAUUUGCAACUUUGUCUGCGUCACCAAAGUGCUUCCAAAGACUCCAGGUCAGAUGGACGGAAACGGUUUGUCGACAGCAGAUAGGGAAACUCCAGGAUGCUCAAACGCAUCUCAAGCCAGUACAAACCAGCCCACAAUUCAAGGUCAGCUGCAAGUCAUGCAAAACAACAUUCUCUCAGCACUGACUGAAAAACUUAGUCAGUUAAUUGAGCCCAAUGUAGAAAAUUGCUUGCGACACUUUAACUCGGCACCCGCCAGUCACAAUUCCAAUCCCGACAAUAGAGUGAGACAACCCGAUACCGAGACAUGGCAGGGUAAUCAUUCCAAUAAUUCUUCCUUUGAGAGAGAGUCUAUCUUCGGAACUCUCAAGGCGGCCGGAUAAGGUUGGUCCGAUUAUGAACGGUUGGAAAUUAAAAUUUUCGGGUACGGGUUUGUCAGUAGAUAAUUUCAUUUAUCAGGUGGAUGCCAUGACAAAUAAAACCCUAGACGGAAAUUUUGAGCUAAUGUGCAAGAAUGUCUCUUCACUUUUUGAAGGGAAGGCGGAGGAUUUCUUUUGGAGACACCACAAAACGGUUAGGCAAAUCAAUUGGGGAUCUUUAUGUUCAGCUUUGCGUAAGCAGUAUAAGGAUGACAGGGAUGACGGAGACAUUGAAGAGUUAAUAAGGCAAAGGAAGCAGGAAAACAAUAAAUCUUUUGAUAGUUUCUUCAAUGCUAUCAAUGUCUUUCUUGAUGAAAUGGAAAGGCCCUUGUCAAAAAGCAAGUUGGUGAGGAUUUUGAGAAAUAAAUUGAGACCAGAAAUUCGUCAUGAAAUCCUAAAUGUUGACAUAUCCUGUGUAUCACACCUGCGUGAAGUAUGUCGCAAAAGGGAAUCAUUCUUAGAAGAUGUCAAGCGAUCUCAUGGAUACGCUAAGAGGGUCCAAGAAAGAUGUGGCAGAAUUAGAUGAGGAUUUUGGCACAGAAGAAGUCAGUGAAGUAGAAAUUAAUGGAGAAAUAGAGGCGCUGAACGUGGUCUGCUGGAAUAGCCAUAAAGAAGGGCAUAUUUAUAAAAAUUGCUUAGUCGAAAAACAACGCCUGUUUUGCUUUGGAUGCGGUUUGGCGAACACUCUUAGGCCUAAAUGUGCAAGGUGCUUGUCAAAAAACCGCUCAGGGAGCACGCAGAUGCAGCCACACAAACAGAAGCCUUUGCGUGCUCAGCAGCAGCCACCAUUCCCAAACCGUCCCCAAUCUCCAGCUUAGAUUCCGGCGAAAGCGAAAACGUUGGGAGUCCUACAGAGGCGCAAUACGAUUCUAGCUCAGGCAAUGAAUUCGAAGAAGAUGAAUUUGAAAAUGAUAAAGCAGAUUUCGAUGAGGCUACAAAAACUAAGUCCCGUAGCGCUCAACGAAUGCAAGACUUUUGGAAUGAGAUAAAGCAAUUGAGAGGGCAUAUUUGGGAAAUAAACUCUAUACAAGAUUGUUCCCAGGAUCCGCGUCCAUUUGUAGCAGUGCUGUUACUUCAGCGUCUCGUAAAAGGGCUUUUGGAUUCGGGAGCGGCUGUUAGCUGCUUAGGAGGCAGCUUAGCUCAGCAGUUUUUAGAAGAGGGCAUACCAUUCAAAAAAAUACAUUCCAAAGUGAGCACUGCUGACGGAAAUAGGCAAGAAAUUGUGGGAAAAGUUUGUCUUCCAGUGGUCUACGACCGAAGGACUGAAGAUAUAGAUAUAUACAUUGUUCCCACGCUAAAACAAGAUUUAUAUUUAGGGAUCGAUUUUUGGCGCAAAUUUGACUUGCUGCCGAAUUUACCAAAUGUGUCCGAAUUAAAUAUGAAAGCUAUAGAGCAUGACUUAUCGGAGGCAGAGAAAAAGCAGCUAUCAAACGUGGUAAAUUUGUUUCCGUCGAAGGGCUGGGUAAGACCAACUUAAUUUCCCAUUCGAUUGAUGUAGGUCCGGCUAAACCUGUGAAGCAGAGGCAUUAUCCUGUGUCUCCCGCGAUGGAAAAGUUAAUUUAUGCGGAAAUAGACCGAAUGAUUGAGUUGGGAGUGAUAGAAGAAUUUGAUAGUUCGUGGUCUUCGCCCUUAGUCAUAGUGCAGAAGCCAGGAAAAUUUCGUCUCUGUCUGGAUAGCAGGAAGGUAAAUGCACUUACUGUAAAGGAUGCCUAUCCACUUCCACAGAUUAGCGGGAUACUUAGUCGAUUGCCGAAAUCCGAAUUUAUAACCAGCCUCGAUUUAAAAGACGCUUAUUGGCAGGUUCCCUUGGAGGUAGAUUCGAGGGACAAGACAGCUUUUACGGUGCCAGGAUGACCGCUUUACCAUUUUAAAGUUAUGCCAUUCGGGCUUUGUAACGCCACGCAAACCAUGUCCAGACUAAUGGACAAAGUUAUACCUCCUCAGCUGCGUAACGAAGUAUUUGUCUACUUAGAUGAUUUGCUAAUUGUCUCAGACUCUUUGGAAAGGCAUCUCGAGGUUUUACGUGAGGUAGCGAUUCACAUAAAGCGAGCUGGACUUACGAGUAACAUCGGAAAAAGCUUUUGCUCCAAAAGGGUGAAAUACCUGGAGAAUAUAGUGGGAGAUGGAGGAAUCCGAAUGGAUCCAGAGAAGAUAGCCGCCAUUACUGAGUUUCCCGUGCCCAAGACUCUCAGGUCUUCGAGGAGCUUCUUAGGACUAUGAGGAUGGUAUCGGAAGUUUAUAUGCAACUUUGCGGCAUUGACGGCUCCGCUGACGGAUCUGCUUACUCCAAAGCGAAAAUUCGCGUUUACGGAACAAGCUUUAAAGGCGUUUGAGGACUUGAAGACAAGGUUAACCGAAGCCCCUAUUCUUAAAAGUGCUGAUUUUUCAAAACCUUUUUUUAUACAUUGCGAUGCCAGCAAAACAGGAGUUGGAGGGGUCUUGGUUCAGCUUUCUGAUGAAGGAGAUGAAUGUCCCAUCGCUUUUGUUUCCAAGAAAUUAAACAAGGCCCAACAAAAUUACUCGGUAAUGGAACAGGAGUGUUUAGCAGCUAUUGUUUGUUUAAAAAAUUUUCGGGCAUAUGUCGAAGGACACGAUUUUACCAUAAUCACGGACCAUGCUUCGUUGAAAUGGUUAAUGUCUCAGACAGAUUUAAGCUCAAGGUUUGCAAGAUGGGCGUUGAAGUAGCAGAGCUACUCUUUCAAGAUUGAACACAGGCGUGGAAAGUUGAAUGUGGUCCCGGAUGUCCUUUCUAGGGUACACGAGGAAGAAGUAGACGAGCUAAACUGCUUGGACGAAAGGCUAGUUGAUGUGGAGUCUAGGCACUUUAACUCUCCCGAAUAUUUGGACUUGAUUGCACGAAUUGAAGACUGCAAGGAUCGGCUUCCGGAUGUAAAAGUCCAGGAUGGUAGGGUCUUUAGACGAGCCGAGUACGCAGUGGGCGAGCCGGUCCACGACAAGUAUAAUUGGAAGCUGUGGAUUCCGAAAGAGGCAGUGGCUGAGAUCCUUAAAAAAGAGCAUGAUGACCCUUUAGCAGCUCAUGGGGGAAUUCACAAAACUAUUGAGCGAAUUCGGCAGUUCUAUUUCUGGCCAGGUCUAGUUCCGGAUGUUAAGAAAUAUGUGAACUCGUGUGAACUCGGGUGCUUCUAAAGCACCCAAUUAUCCGCUACGUCCCCCACUAGCUAAACCGUCAGAAUCAGAACGAUUUUUCCAGAAGCUCUAUAUAGAUUUUCUGGGACCUUACCCUAGAUCUCGAAAUGGAAACAUUGGCAUAUUUAUAGUCCUUGAUCAUUUGUCCAAAUUUGUGUUUUUGUAACCUGUGAAGAAGAUUACUGCGGACGUGGUUGUGAAAUAUCUGGAGACAGAGUUGUUUCACGUUUUUGGCGUUCCGGAGGUUAUAAUCUCGGACAAUGGCUCUCAGUUUCGGUCACAGACAUUCAAGAAACUUUUAGAUGAAUAUAAUGUCUUGCACUCUUUUACGGCAGUGCUCCGCAAGGGAAUGCUGCAGAACGAGUAAAUCGUUCGGUGGUUGCGGAUAUUCGCUCGUAUGUCAAGGGAGACCAGAAGGAUUGAAACAAGUAUUUGUCACAUAUAUGCUGCGCUUUGAGAUCAGCAGUACAUUCCAGUGUAGGGUCCAGUCCGUACUAUAUGGCGUUUGGUCAGCAAAUGAUUACCUCGGGAACCUCUUACACGCUUCUACGGAAGUUGAAUUUAUUAGAAGAUCGCUUAUUGAACCUGAUUCAAAAGGACUCUCUUGAAGUAGUUCGCAGUCGAGCCGGGGAAAUUAUGCAACAACAGUACGAGAAAAAUGAGCGCCAAUAUAAUCUAAGGGCUAGAGUAGUGAACUUUGUCGAAGGUCAAGAAGUUUUCCGCAGGAAUUUUAAGCAAAGUAACUUGGACGAGGGCUACAACGCCAAGCAUGCCCCAAGAUUUCUAAAAGCCCGAGUAAGGAAAAAGUUGGGUGACACUUACUAUGCUCUGGAAGACAUGCAGGGAAAAUUUUUGGUCAAAUAUCAUGCCAAAGACAUACGGCAAUAACUGGCUACACGCGGGAUCAGUCCUGGUUACUCUGUGAUCCCCAGUCUGAUUUUGGCAGGGGGUAUUUGUAAGUGCGCGUGUACCAGUAAUGUAUCUGAGUUUCGGAUAGCCUGGACCAGCACCUAUGGUUGCUUAGCAACAAUGUUUUUGCGGAUGCUUAGCAACAUGUCUCUUAAGAACAUCUGGGAGAAACAAGGCAACAUGCUGCGCUCCUAGUAGGUCCGGAAAAACUGUGGCUGUGUGGGUUGCUAGGAGAGACUGAUCGAGAAUAAGGAGAAAAAGAUUUUCGCGCCUCUCUGUGGGCAAACGGCGGAGUGGUGGAAUCGCGGUUUGGUGGCGUCUUGCAGGGGGUAUAAAAGGCGGUCCGCUGGCGUCAGCCGCUCAUAGCAAGUGAGACUCUAAGUGCAAUUUCAAGUGGGUGAAAGUGAAAAGGUUGUGGUUUUUCAAAUGCUAAUUUGCACCUUUUGCAGCUUAGACAUUUCGAACUUAAUCCCGUGAGGAGUGAUUCAACCCCUUGCAACAGCAGUGGCUCAAAGGGUGAGUUAGGCAUUUCCUCCCAGUUUGGGUUUAACUUUGACUUUGUGGCGCAGCGGCAAGCGACAGCGACGCGGAAGAGCGAUCUCGGAGCACCACGACGAGUAUUGCCAAAGAGGGUAGCUCUACUACGGCGGCGAGCCUGGAUUGUGGCAACCACACCCAAGAGUUGGCGCAAGCAAACCACGGCGCUUCUAAGCGCCAAUCAACAAAGAGAAUUGCACAGGCGCAUUUGUUUGUUUAGCGCAAGCGUUUUUUUUGGAUCAGCUGCCAGCGGCAAGGCCGUAUCGAGGUUUUCCCUCAAACGCGGCGUUCCACAUGGCAGCACUGUGCUUUUCCUUAAUGUGAUGAAAACGCUGAAA
This is a long non-coding RNA of Drosophila biarmipes, 8949 nucleotides long. RefSeq lists it as uncharacterized. Lineage: Eukaryota; Metazoa; Arthropoda; Insecta; Diptera; Drosophilidae. The record is from RefSeq and is a predicted model, not a curated record. The transcript has 2 exons.